AAACUUAAAGGAAGUUGACGGGGGCCCGCGACAAGCGGUGGAGCAUGUGGUUUAAUUCGACGCAACGCGAAGAACCUUACCUAGGUUUGACAUCCCGGGGAGUCUUUUGAAAGAGAGAUGUGCCUUUCGGGAGCCCGGAGACAGGUGCUGCAUGGCUGUCGUCAGCUCGUGUCGUGAGAUGUUGGGUUAAGUCCCGCAACGAGCGCAACCCUUAUCAUUAGUUGCUACGCAAGGGCACUCUAAUGAGACUGCCGGUGACAAACCGGAGGAAGGUGGGGAUGACGUCAAGUCCUCAUGGCCCUUAUGGGUAGGGCUUCACACGUCAUACAAUGGUCGGUACAGAGGGUUGCCAAGCCGCGAGGCGGAGCCAAUCCCACAAAGCCGAUCGUAGUCCGGAUUGUUCUCUGCAACUCGAGAGCAUGAAGUCGGAAUCGCUAGUAAUCGCAGGUCAGCAUACUGCGGUGAAUACGUCCCCGGGUCUU
This 482-nucleotide ribosomal RNA is filed under the name uncultured Thiobacillus sp. RNAcentral's name for it is "bacterial SSU rRNA". It matches the Rfam family "Bacterial small subunit ribosomal RNA", at positions 897 to 1382 of the family's 1533-position model. Lineage: Bacteria; Pseudomonadati; Pseudomonadota; Betaproteobacteria; Nitrosomonadales; Thiobacillaceae. The record is from RNAcentral.